GAGUUUGAUCUUGGCUCAGAUUGAACGCUGGCGGCAUGCCUUACACAUGCAAGUCGAACGGCAGCACGGGAGCUUGCUCCUGGUGGCGAGUGGCGAACGGGUGAGUAAUGCAUCGGAACGUAUCCUGGAGUGGGGGAUAACGUAGCGAAAGUUACGCUAAUACCGCAUAUUCUGUGAGCAGGAAAGCGGGGGACCUUCGGGCCUCGCGCUCUUGGAGCGGCCGAUGUCGGAUUAGCUAGUUGGUGAGGUAAAGGCUCACCAAGGCGACGAUCCGUAGCAGGUCUGAGAGGAUGAUCUGCCACACUGGAACUGAGACACGGUCCAGACUCCUACGGGAGGCAGCAGUGGGGAAUUUUGGACAAUGGGGGCAACCCUGAUCCAGCCAUGCCGCGUGAGUGAAGAAGGCCUCGGUUGUAA
This 417-nucleotide ribosomal RNA is filed under the name bacterium enrichment culture clone ALO1_GLFRUDD03F6TL9. RNAcentral's name for it is "bacterial SSU rRNA". It matches the Rfam family "Bacterial small subunit ribosomal RNA", at positions 9 to 428 of the family's 1533-position model. RNAcentral also lists the same sequence under 10 other names. The record is from RNAcentral.